CUGCGAAUGGCUCAUUAUAUAAGUUAUCGUUUAUUUGAUAGUACCUUACUACUUGGAUAACCGUGGUAAUUCUAGAGCUAAUACAUGCUAAAAAUCCCGACUUCGGAAGGGAUGUAUUUAUUAGAUUAAAAACCAAUGCCCUCUGGGCUCCUUGGUGAUUCAUAAUAACUUUUCGAAUCGCAUGGCCUUGCGCCGGCGAUGGUUCAUUCAAAUUUCUUCCCUAUCAACUUUCGAUGUUUGGGUAUUGGCCAAACAUGGUCGCAACGGGUAACGGAGGGUUAGGGCUCGACCCCGGAGAAGGAGCCUGAGAAACGGCUACUACAUCCAAGGAAGGCAGCAGGCGCGCAAAUUACCCAAUCCCGAUUCGGGGAGGUAGUGACAAUAAAUACUGAUACAGGGCUCUUUUGGGUCUUGUAAUUGGAAUGAGUACAAUUUAAAUCUCUUAACGAGGAACAAUUGGAGGGCAAGUCUGGUGCCAGCAGCCGCGGUAAUUCCAGCUCCAAUAGCGUAUAUUAAAGUUGUUGUGGUUAAAAAGCUCGUAGUUGAACCUUGGGCCUGGCUGGCCGGUCCGCCUCACCGCGUGUACUGGUCCGGCCGGGCCUUUCCCUCUGUGGAACCUCAUGCCCUUCACUGGGUGUGGCGGGGAAACAGGACUUUUACUUUGAAAAAAUUAGAGUGCUCCAGGCAGGCCUAUGCUCGAAUACAUUAGCAUGGAAUAAUGAAAUAGGACGUGUGGUUCUAUUUUGUUGGUUUCUAGGACCGCCGUAAUGAUUAAUAGGGACAGUCGGGGGCAUCAGUAUUCAAUUGUCAGAGGUGAAAUUCUUGGAUUUAUUGAAGACUAACUACUGCGAAAGCAUUUGCCAAGGAUGUUUUCAUUAAUCAGGAACGAAAGUUAGGGGAUCGAAGACGAUCAGAUACCGUCGUAGUCUUAACCAUAAACUAUGCCGACUAGGGAUCGGACGAUGUUAUUUUUUGACGCGUUCGGCACC
RNAcentral lists this ribosomal RNA (989 nucleotides) under Gamszarella antillana. RNAcentral describes it as "SSU rRNA". It matches the Rfam family "Eukaryotic small subunit ribosomal RNA", at positions 87 to 1087 of the family's 1831-position model. Lineage: Eukaryota; Fungi; Ascomycota; Sordariomycetes; Hypocreales; Cordycipitaceae. The record is from RNAcentral.